ACGCUCGACACCUACGGGGGGCAGCAGUGGGGAAUAUUGCACAAUGGGGGAAACCCUGAUGCAGCGACGCCGCGUGAGUGAAGAAGUAUUUCGGUAUGUAAAGCUCUAUCAGCAGGGAAGAAAAUGACGGUACCUGACUAAGAAGCCCCGGCUAACUACGUGCCAGCAGCCGCGGUAAUCUGAGCGGGCUGGCAAGGC
Molecule: ribosomal RNA, 198 nt
Filed under: uncultured bacterium
Lineage: Bacteria
Description: partial 16S ribosomal RNA
Rfam family: Bacterial small subunit ribosomal RNA
Source: RNAcentral